CGAUUGGGAGUAAUUUUGCGGUUCUAGAAGUUGAAUGUGUUACUGGAUUUUGAUUCGAGGGAGAUGAGUUGUAGAAACUUAGAAAAUGAGUAGUUAGAUCUAGUGUAUGAGACACAUGAUAAGAUGUAGUAUAACCGUAAAAUCCGAUGGUUGAUCUGAAGUAGUCCAUGGUGCACAAUUUUAAGAAUGGUGAAUGCUAAAUGCACCAUAAUUGUGUAUUUAAGUUGAAAUUAAAAGAAAGGGAGCAUAAAAUUGGGAUAUAUGGCAUGCUAUCACCAACACCACAUAUUGAAUUUUAGAUAUACAAGUAAAUAACAGUUGUGUAUUCCGGUUUAUAUAUAUGAUGAAUCUAUGAGAAGGGGAAAAAAUGGUACAUUGUAUUAUCAUUUUGGUGGAAUAUAUUUUAUUUUAUUUUUGUGUGUUAAUGUAACUGAAUGAGUCCAAUUUUUUUAUUUUGGUGGAAUAUAUAUAUAUUUUUUUUUUGUUGCAAGAAUCUGCCUCCAAGAUGUUUUCGUAAUUAAUCAAGAGUCAAUUAUGUUAUAUCCUUCUGCAUUUACUCCAAAAACAUGUACUAGUCUUAAAAUAGAUAAAAACGUGUUCAUGUUAUAAACUAAUGGUGAUGUCAAUGACAAGAGACAUCAUCUAAAUCAAAUUCAGCUCCUUCUUAACUUCAAAUCCAAACACUGAAACAGAGAAUCAAUAUUACACCAAUCAUGAAAUAAUUUUUUGUCUGGUUAGAAGGAAAUCAAACUAUAGUAGUACAAGGCUGAAUAUUGUUAUUUUCAUUAUUUAAGCAAUAGACUGUUAUGCAUCAUGCUGAUUUGAUUGCACUCAUGAUCAAAAUCUGAGUAUAUACUUUCAUUCUGAUCAAUCAAAAGAAUCAUUCUUCCCUGAAUUUAUUAGUUGAGUCAAGUUUUCCAUUCUAGUUAGUGCAAAACAUUUAUCAGUUAUGUUCGCUAACGUUCAUUUAAACCAUUUAAACUUUAUAGAUCCAUUCAAACCUAUUAAACUUCCAAGAACAAAUCUCAUGUUGAUGUUGAUAACCAUCCAUAAAUUUGUACUAAACCAAACAAUGUGAUACUCUCAACACAUUGUUUUCAACACAUUAUUUGGUCUUAGCACAAAUCUACAGAUGAUUACUUGAUAUUGGUAGGUGUUCUUCAUCUUCUUAUAUGUAGUAGUAGUGGUCCAUGAGCUAACAAACUAAUUAAAUAUAAGAAAAUAAAGAUGGUAAUGAAAAGGAAAAGAGGCUGACAUAAGAGAGAAAAAUUACGAAGAAGAAGAAGAAGAUGUUCUUGCUAAUGCUAUGUAGUGUUCUCUAUUUUAUAGCCACAAUUGGAGUUAUGGUUGAAGUCAUUAUGAUGCAUAGGCUCUAGGUGUGGUGCAUGUGAAGAUCUUGGCCAUAGGAUAGUAUUCACAUGGUGGGGGUUGUUUGUGAUGUGAUAUUUUCAAAGAAAAGGUUAAAAAUGGCGAUGAAGCUCGGAAAGUACUAUUGCCAUAUUUUGGAAACAAAUGAAAUGAGUCACAUCUCACAUAUGUACUUGUGCUUUGAUUGAUUCCUAUAUUAAGUUGUUUUGCUUAAUACAUAAAAUUAGCAAAUUACUAGUAUAUGGGUAAUAUAAUGUUACAUAUUAAGUACAUACAAUUCAAAGUGUGUUUGUUUUAAGAUGUGUGUAAUGUUGGAAAAAGCUAAAGUGUAAAAACAAGUUGUUUGUGGUGAUUUGUGUUCUUUUUUAAUUCUGAUAUAUUACUCAAAAGGAUUGGUUUAGUCUAGAAGAUCUGUUUGUUUAUGAUAAAUCAUACACUUUUCUCCACAUCAUUGUAGCAUGUGAUCAAUUGUCGUUCUUCAUUGUUUGUGAGAUGGUGAAGCAUGUGAAUUUUCUCCACAUCUUUGAUGUUUAUACAAUAACUAAAUAUAUGUUUUGUUUUAAAAGAUUAUAAUCAAGAAUCCAUUAAAAGAGAGAACCAAUUGUAAAUAGACAUAACGUGCAAUUUCGUGUGCCUGCCUGCCGUGCCGUAUAGCAACCCUCGUGUAUCCCUUAAAAAAAAACGUAAUGUUACAUCGGAGAAUACAAGAUUUAGAAUACAACAUUCCUAUAAUUGUUUCAAGUUUUCAAAAUUUGUAAACAUGAGUUUUUAUUCCCAAGAAAUUUUUUUACACAUGCGAAUUAAAAGAUGAGAAUCCUUUAAUCCGAAUUUAACAAUCCAAUAAAAAUAUAACUUAACUUAUUGUAACUUUCAACAACCACUUACAUUUAUUUUCUAUCUCUUAAAAUAGUGUUG
Molecule: long non-coding RNA, 2283 nt
Filed under: Medicago truncatula (barrel medic)
Lineage: Eukaryota; Viridiplantae; Streptophyta; Magnoliopsida; Fabales; Fabaceae
Description: long non-coding RNA (MTRU_LNC001364)
Source: RNAcentral